RNAcentral lists this long non-coding RNA (5969 nucleotides) under Sus scrofa (pig). RNAcentral describes it as "lncRNA (ENSSSCG00005006166.1)". The record is from RNAcentral. Lineage: Eukaryota; Metazoa; Chordata; Mammalia; Artiodactyla; Suidae.
AUUCUGCUGUCAUCUCCUUAUUCUUCUACUUAAUGAAGGGAAAUAUCUCCAGAACUGAAAUGUUUAUAUGUAUUUCACUUUUUAAAAAAAUCCAACAUUCAAAUAGGCUUGGGAAAUAAACUUUUUGAGCUAAAUAAACUUAAAGUUUCUUGAGAGGGUGCAUCAUAAAGCCUGAAGAUGCUAACAUGCUUUGCGAGACUCUGACAAGGAGAAAUCAUUCCGUGUUUUGCAAAUUGACUUGAUCUUGGGAAUCCUCUUCCUCCUGACUUGCUCCACCACAAAUCAGGGGUAUGGAAUACGGCAUAGGGAACCAGCUUUGAGAAACACCAGUAAUAGAACUUGAGUUAGAGCCCGUGGAUCCUCUGAAAUUGAUGUUUACCUAUGUGAAAUUUCCAAUGAGAUACUUACAAGAAGCUGCUAAGAUUUGUGCUUCUUAUUGGCUUAUAAAGAUUUUUAAAAAUAUUUUAAUCUGAUAAUGCUGACAAAUUUGGUAUAAAUNNNNNNNNNNNNNNNNNNNNNNNNNNNNNNNNNNAAAAAUAGGUCUAUGUCCUAAUCCUUGGAAACUGUGAGCAUGUUAGUUACAUGGCAAAGAGGAAUUAAGGCUGUGGAUAGAAUUAAAGUGGCCAAUCAGACAAUCUUAAAAUAAGAUUGUCUUGGAUUAUCCAGGUGCACUCAGUGUUAUCACGGGGGUUCCUAAAAGUGGAAGAGAAGCAGAAAAGAGUCAGAGGAAGAUGUGACUACAAAGAAUGGUCAGAGAGACAUAAUGUUACUGGCUUUGAAGAUGGAAGGGGCCACGAGUCAAGGGAUCUGGGCAUCCUGUAGAGGCUAGAAAAGGCGAGCAAGUGGAUUCUCCCCUAGAGCCUCCAGAAAGGAAUACAGCGUGGCUGACCUCUUAAUUUUAGCUGGUGAGACCCAUUUCAGACUUCUGAUUUCCAGAAUUUUCAGAUAAUAAAUGUGCAUUGUUUAAGCCACAGCAUUUACCAUAAUUUUUUUUACAGCAGUCCUGGAAAAAUAGCACAGUAUCAAUCAUGAGUUACUACCCAAUAAGCAUUCUAUUCUCAGAAAAUUAAAAUUAAUAUUGUCAUUGUUAAUGUUCCUCUUUGACACAACCCAAGCAGCCCUGUGAGUUAGGAUGUUACUCCCAUUUUCUGAACUUUGGCUUUUGCUGUUGUUGCUGUUAAGUAAAAUAAGACGAACUGUCCCUUGAUGAUGCAUGGAUUAAGUCAGUCCAUCUCGGCAGCAAGGUGAAGAAAACUGUAUUUUCUUGGCACCUAGUGAAAUAAUCCCUGUUAGAGACCAGCCUUGUUUCUUUACGGGGAAGAGAAAGGACAAGGAAUCCGGGAGUGAGGAGAGGAAGACAGAAGUGGACCCGGCAAAGAUAAAGAACGCUGUGUUCUGGGUAAAAAAACGAAUCCUCAAUCAAGUUUACAGACUCCCACAGUGCUUGAUCAGACUGCAUGUUUUGUGAAAAGUGGUAAAAAGGUCAAAUUCUGUUAUCUUUUGGUGUGUGCACCAAAGAUAGAGAACCCCCACCUCUGCCGGGGUAUGGGGCUGUAGGGGCCCUGAGACUGCAGGGCCACAGGAGCCCCCAGAUCCUGGGAGGACACUGACUAGGCUAAGGUCAGGGGGCUUAAGGUGGAUGAUGGGGUGCCAGAGGAAUUUCAGCUUAGCCCUAGGGGGCCCGCUAAGCACCCAGCUGGCCUCUGAGUGAAAUGUGUAAGGAUCUUAGCCACGUCUCAGCCACAGACACUCCCUGCUGGUGGGUUUGCUGUCACAACGUGGCCUGUCCUCAUGUGUGUCUGCACCAGACACCACGCCCAGGCCACGCUUCAGCAUCACACCCGGCAGAUUUCCUUUCCCAGGGAGUUCUGAAGUCACUUUACCAGGCAGGAGUCCUACAUAAAACCCGAUUGUUUAUGUAAAGCCUGUCUGAUGUACCUUCACAUGCCCCCUGGAUGACUGAAAGCCCUGCUACCACGAACAGACCAAGCUGGUGUUUUAGAAACAUAAUGAACUUCAUUCCACUGACAUGAAGCUCUGAGGAGAAGGUCCUGGGAGAUGAAACUCUCUGGAACCUGGACAGGUUAUGAGCAGUGUCUGUUUCUGUGGCUGCUGCCCGGCUUUAAUGAUGGGAGAGCAGCUGUGGAGCCGCUUAAUGGCCACAUUGGGCUGGGCCUGCCCGCAGCGCUCCCUGAGCCCCCUCCAGUCUCUAAUGAGCAGCGCUGCGGGCAGGCGGUGAUUCAUCUGGCUCCUGCCUCAUUAGAAUGUCAAGCAAGGCUCAGCUGCCUCAAAUCCCUUGUGCAAGGAGGCAGGUUGAAAUUAAAAAUAAAUACACUAGCAAAAGGUUAGUGUAUAUAAAGGAACUCUUCUUUCUCUGAAUUGACUUGGCUUUACUCUUUCUGGUAUAUGUGUCAUUUAGUACCAGGCUCAAAUAUACAAGAAACCUAAUCUAAUCAAGUUAUAACUGAACUUAAUUUGCAUUUUAAGCCCCCACUUCUUUCAAAGUCCCCCACUAAUGUUUUCCUCUGGAUCAGCAUCUAGGGAAUGUGAUGCCUGUAAUACUGAGACAUGGGAAGAGUGACUGCUGAUCAGGUAUUGUCACUGCUCCUCCCUGCCAACCUCUAAGGGGUUUUCAUUCGUGUCUGGUCUUCAGGUAUCACUCUAUGCAGCUCCUUGUCUCAAUAGUGAGGCCCCUCAGGUGUGCCAAUAAUCCGUGCCAUGAAUGUCUGGCUUCAUAAAUAUUCUGCUGCUUCCAAGCACCCAUGCAAGGAAUAUCUGAGGCUGUCUCAUGCUGCAGGCAUCUUUCAGCCCACCCCAAAUAGUUUGUGUUAUGGAUAAAAUAAUAGAAACUGAUGCUGGCUUUUUAAACAGAAAAAAGAUUAUAUCAGAUGUUUAACAGGUGGCUCACAGAAUUAAUGGGAAACUUGGAGAAUUACACAUAGAAAAAUGAACCAAAAGCAGCAAAGGCAAGGCCGCAGGAACAACAAUGAUGGACACUCCAUGUGGAAGGACCUGAUUGGCCAAGGCUGGGUCACGUGAUCUUGCACUGGCGGCUUUACUCACUUUCAUCUUCUGUAAAUGAAUGACACACAAUGGCGGAGUCCCCUGAAGUCAGAAGAGCAUUUAUAUGCUGGACAGGUGAAAUACAGUAAAUGCCCAUGCAAUAGAUCGUGCUAGAAGUGGGAGAGUUCAAAUGCUCAAAUGAUACCACUCAGGUGCUAAUUCCUGGGCUCCAGGUUUCUUUCUCGGGUGAUUGACAUAAGGGCAGUAGAAGAAAUACUUGUGUACUGAGAUUGGGCCAGUAAUUUUUUUUUUUUUUUUGGUCUUUUUUAGGGCCACACCCAUGGCAUAUGGAGGUUCCCAGGCUAGGGGUUGAAUCAGAGCUGUAGCUGCUGACCUAUGCCAUAGCCACAGCAACAUGAGAUCCGAGCCAAGUCUGCAACCUACACCACAGCUCACGGCAAUGCCAGAUCCUUAACUCACUGAGCAGGGCCAGGGAUCAAACCCAUGUCCUCAUGGAUGCUAAUCAGAUGCAUUUCAACUGAGCCACGACAGGAACUCCUUGGGCCAGUAAUCGAGAUGGCCUUGAAGACCCUACACAAACCCUUAUGUGACAUGAGGGACAUCACGAUGGGUAUAACCAAGAACGGUGUGGAUAUGCCACAGAAAAGUGGUGGCCAUUGAGAGGCCUCGAACGGGACCAGGAGGCACCACUAGUGCCCACACAGCACACAGAGGGACUGUAAGGAAUGACUAAGAAUACAGACACCUUGCCACAGUCAGUAAUGACAUGGAACCGUGAUCAGCGGCCUUUCCUACGCAGCAUGUCAGCACCGCUGAAGUCCCAUCCCUGGAUAACUGGAAGCAACACCACGUGCAAGAGAGAGACCCUGGAACAGCUGAGCUGUUCUGCUCCCUGUUGGACUAGGACACCAGAACACACAAUUAAAAGGGUCUAGUUUAAACAACAAGAAGAACAAGAAAAAAUGUGAACUAGUUUGCUUACCAGAAUUUAUGAACAGGUCAUAAUUCUUUAAUAUCAAAUCAUUAUCUACUUGUGACAGUUUGAAAGGCAGCUGCCCAAAGGAAAAUGGAUUCAUGAAAUGAGAAGCAACACUUCUGUCACUGACCAGGAAAGGAGGGGACGUAAGCAGGCCUGUGGAAGGACAGGUCCAGGAGAGGAAAGGGGAGGUUCCCUCUCUGACAGAGGGAGGCCAGCUCGGAGCAGGGAGGAGGGUUUGACGGACACCAAUGUGGUGUUAGAAUGUGGAUGAUAGAGGCAAAGCACUUCAUCAAACCCAGGGCUGCAAAUUAACCUUUACAAAACGAAUGGCUUUUUCAGCGCUGAAUAAAAGUCCCAGUGAAACAGAAGAGGGAGAUGCUGGAACCAUGCUCUAAAUCUGAGUAAGAUGGUGACCUUUGCAUUCUAAUUGCUUGCAGCUAUCUUAAUAUGACAGUUGGCAUUUUUUAACCUUGCACAUGAUAAAAUAACAAUUUUUUAGGAAAAAAAGGUUGAGGUUAAUAAGCUUCCUCCCAACAAAAUCAGACUCCCUCUAGCUGAGGACUAUAAUUGUCAAAACAGCAUUGUGGCUAUUUGACUUCCACCAUGGUAUAGAUAUUUAAUUGAUGAAUGGUUCUGCUCUAUGAAAAAUGGUUUAUUAAAAGGGCAUUCAUUGCCACUGCUUUGUUGAAAAGACUGGUUCUGUGGUAAGUUAAAUGUACCAGCAUUAAACAAGCAUCUAAGAGAAGUAGUGAGAUGCGUUAGAAGGAACACUUGACUCUGGAUCAGAGCUCCACGGCCUUUGGCUGCAUAAGCUCAGUAUUGUGCUCUUUUCUUAAUUUAUCUGUUCACUCAGUGUGACCUUAACCUCUCCUCUUCUAAAUGAAAAUAAUACUUGUCCAGAUUAUCUCACAGGAUUGUCUCUGCAGAUCCAAUAGAUGGUGCUUGUUUCAAUGCUUGUGGCAUUAGCUACACACAAAAGGGUGAAACUUAGAAUAGCUUGAAUUCAUGGUUUAGCAAGAGGAAGAUUUAAGUCCUCACUCUGCAUCUUACUGGCUGUGUGCCCCUAUGAAGCUCACCUUCCUCAUUACAGAAUGCAGAUCACACCUGCCACAUCUUAGCGCUGUUGGUGAAUGUUAGAAAUGUAGAGGUCCUCAUUCACAAGCACAUAUUUGCUCAAUAAACAAAUAGAUAUUCUAAGACGGACCACGUAAUAUUUCUUCAUAAUAUACAAAUUUGAGGUAUUCCUUCCAACCCAUAAUUAUGUGCCCAGGGCUUGCCCUGGGGGAAGACCAAAUCCUCAGACAAUGACUCUGGAAUAGGCCUGACGAGUCAGACCACAAGGCUGGCCCUGUGGGGUAGGAGGGGACAGGAGACCUCUGCACACGUCAUGACACUUUGCUUAUAUUUUAGGUGAACAGUUUACAGUGGAAAUAUUCUUUUCCAUUUUAAAACCUCUGCUUUGGAGAACUAAUGUGCUCUUUUCUUAAUUUAUCUGUUCACUCAUUUAAUCCAUGUAUUCACCCACUCAUUCAUUCAUUAUUCAUUCAAAAAGUAUUUGCAAGUCUUUGUCUUUUAUAUGAGAAGUAUUGUUAUAACUACCAGGAGAUUGUAAGUAUAAAAUAUAUAUAUAUUAGGCUAACAGCUAGAACAAGCCAGUUAAUUUACAAAAUCAGAGCUUUUUAAAAACCACCUGGGGAGUUCCUGUCGUGGCGCAGUGGUUAAUGAAUCCAACUAGGAACUGUGGGGUUGCGGGUUUGAUCCCUGGCCUUGCUCAGUGGCUUAAGGAUCCGGCGUUGCCAUGAGCUGUAGUGUGGGUUGCAGAUGUGGCUUGGAUCCCGCGUUGCUGUGGCUCUGGUGUAGGCCAAAGGCUGCAGCUCUGAUUCGACCCCUAGCCUGGGAAACUCCAUAUGCCACGGGAGUGGCCCAAGAAAUGGCAAAAAAAAAUAAAUAAAUAAAAAAUAAAAAA